This 589-nucleotide ribosomal RNA is filed under the name uncultured Bacillus sp. RNAcentral's name for it is "bacterial SSU rRNA". It matches the Rfam family "Bacterial small subunit ribosomal RNA", at positions 338 to 918 of the family's 1533-position model. Lineage: Bacteria; Bacillati; Bacillota; Bacilli; Caryophanales; Bacillaceae. The record is from RNAcentral.
CCUACGGGAGGCAGCAGUAGGGAAUCUUCCGCAAUGGACGAAAGUCUGACGGAGCAACGCCGCGUGAGUGAUGAAGGCUUUCGGGUCGUAAAACUCUGUUGUUAGGGAAGAACAAGUACGAGAGUAACUGCUCGUACCUUGACGGUACCUAACCAGAAAGCCACGGCUAACUACGUGCCAGCAGCCGCGGUAAUACGUAGGUGGCAAGCGUUAUCCGGAAUUAUUGGGCGUAAAGCGCGCGCAGGCGGUUUCUUAAGUCUGAUGUGAAAGCCCACGGCUCAACCGUGGAGGGUCAUUGGAAACUGGGGAACUUGAGUGCAGAAGAGAAAAGCGGAAUUCCACGUGUAGCGGUGAAAUGCGUAGAGAUGUGGAGGAACACCAGUGGCGAAGGCGGCUUUUUGGUCUGUAACUGACGCUGAGGCGCGAAAGCGUGGGGAGCAAACAGGAUUAGAUACCCUGGUAGUCCACGCCGUAAACGAUGAGUGCUAAGUGUUAGAGGGUUUCCGCCCUUUAGUGCUGCAGCUAACGCAUUAAGCACUCCGCCUGGGGAGUACGGUCGCAAGACUGAAACUCAAAUGAAUUGACGGGG